Molecule: ribosomal RNA, 423 nt
Filed under: uncultured bacterium
Lineage: Bacteria
Description: bacterial SSU rRNA
Rfam family: Bacterial small subunit ribosomal RNA
Source: RNAcentral
GAAUUGUUCGCAAUGGGCGCAAGCCUGACGACGCAACGCCGCGUGGAGGACGAAGAUCUUCGGGUCGUAAACUCCUGUCGAGCGGGAAGAACGCCUUCGGGGCGAAUAGCUCCGAGGGUUGACGGUACCGCUAAAGGAAGCCCCGGCUAACUCCGUGCCAGCAGCCGCAGUAAUACGGGGGGGGCAAGCGUUGUUCGGAAUUACUGGGCGUAAAGGGCUCGUAGGCGGCCAACUAAGUCCGACGUGAAAUCCCUAGGCUCAACCUAGGAACUGCGUCGGAUACUGGAUGGCUUGAAUUCGGGAGAGGGAUGCAGAAUUCCAGGUGUAGCGGUGAAAUGCGUAGAUAUCUGGAGGAAUACCGGUGGCGAAGGCGGCAUCCUGGACCGACAUUGACGCUGAGGAGCGAAAGCUAGGGGAGCAAAC